UAUGUGAUCGUCUCUCGCAUAUCAAUAAGCGGAGGAAAAGAAACUAACAAGGAUUCCCCUAGUAACGGCGAGUGAAGCGGGAAGAGCUCAAAUUUGAAAUCUUAAAGGGUUUCCCUUUACGAAUUGUAGUUUAAAGAAGUGUUUUCUGUUGAGGUUUUGGUAAAAGUUCUUUGGAAUAGGACAUCAUAGAGGGUGAGAAUCCCGUAUUUGACCUUUACUUUCAACUUUGUGAUACACUUUCAAAGAGUCGGAUUGUUAGGGAAUGCAGUCCAAAAUGGGUGGUAAAUUUCAUCUAAAGCUAAAUAUUGGCGAGAGACCGAUAGCGAACAAGUACCGUGAGGGAAAGAUGAAAAGAACUUUGAAAAGAGAGUUAAACAGUACGUGAAAUUGUCAAAAGGGAAGCGUUUGACACCAGUGUUGUUUUUCUGAAAAUCAAUUAAAGAACUGUUUAUGCUAAGCUGUUUAGACUUUAUCAGCUAAUCUGCUUAGUUUUGAGCUUUUCUUUAAUGCACUUUUCAGUUAACAAGUCAACAUCAAUUUCUUUUGCUGUAAAAAAGCUUGAGGAAGGUGGCUUGAGAUUCGUCUUAAGUGUUUAUAGCCUCUUGCCUAUGCAGUCGGAGAGAUUGAGGUCUGCAGCGUAGAUCCUUCGGGGCUAAAUGCAUUUGUGCUAAGUUAUAGCAUUUUAUAGACAACUUGUUGACUAUGAUUUGUCUUGUAGCUUACUCGCUUAUGUUAUUUUACCUACGCUUAGGAUGUUGAACGCGCACAGAGUCUC
RNAcentral lists this ribosomal RNA (775 nucleotides) under uncultured Neocallimastigales. RNAcentral's name for it is "partial large subunit ribosomal RNA". It matches the Rfam family "Eukaryotic large subunit ribosomal RNA", at positions 24 to 641 of the family's 3401-position model. The record is from RNAcentral. Lineage: Eukaryota; Fungi; Neocallimastigomycota; Neocallimastigomycetes; Neocallimastigales.